This 330-nucleotide long non-coding RNA is filed under the name Brassica napus (rape). RNAcentral describes it as "long non-coding RNA (BNAP_LNC018646)". Lineage: Eukaryota; Viridiplantae; Streptophyta; Magnoliopsida; Brassicales; Brassicaceae. The record is from RNAcentral.
AUAAAGCAGGUCAAAUGCUUGUCCAAUAUAAAAUAAUUUUCAUACCAAAGAUUCAAAUACAAAUAAGUAAACUUUUGAGACAACUAUAAGUUUUCUGUCUGAAAUUGUAUACUAUGUAGAUAACUUGCGACUUUCUAAGAAAAGGAAAUAAGAUAUUUUUGUCAUAGUCAAUAUAGAAUUGUUGAAUUAGAAUAACAAAGAAAUAAAUAUCUAAUAUUCGUAAAGAAAUAAUUGAAUUGAUAUAUUUUAUAACUUCAGUCUAUCGCCACUCACAAUUUAUUUGGAUGUUGUUUGACCAAGGACUCCUAGGCGAAGUACAUAAUAUUGCCC